This 3347-nucleotide long non-coding RNA is filed under the name Cricetulus griseus (Chinese hamster). RNAcentral's name for it is "lncRNA (ENSCGRG00015032197.1)". The record is from RNAcentral. Lineage: Eukaryota; Metazoa; Chordata; Mammalia; Rodentia; Cricetidae.
GUGCGCCUCGGGCCGCGGGACUGCUGCUGCUACCGCCGCCGCCACCGCCGCCGCCACCGCCUCUACGGCCGCGUCAGAACUGGAGAGGAAGGGGAGGAGCCCAGGCGAGCCUAAGCUACCGCCUGAUCUUACCCCUGACCCGAGGGCGGCGCGGAGAGAGAGCUCCGUGGCCGUUCCCUCCGGGGCAGGUGCGAACUGCUCCUCUGGGAACGAGGAGGCGGCCCAGGCCCCGGGGCCGGGCUAGGGCGCGCACCACCCGAAGAUUCUGUUUAAGUUUUGGGGAAAACUACAGAAAUUUAAACUGUGGUGCCGAAGUAAAAGAAUUUUCAAGAUAAAAAGGACCACAAUCCUCAGAAAUCUGUCUUGAGCCUGCCCUUCUUAAUGGUGGGAGAAUGAGAUUAAAGCAGCAGCAAAGAUAAAGGGAAACAAAUUCCACAGUUGUGUGGCUGGACCCCUGCACCCGACCCCUGCUCUCAGAAAUUAAAGAAAUGCAAUGUAGGGUUAGAGAAGUUUGUGAAGCCGAGCACCUCAGAGUUUAAUUUCGUGAACUUUGAAUGGGAAGAGUACAAAUUGCAGAGCUCUGCAACUGAAAAUGCUUCCAGAAACCUGUGUGUCAUGCCGUGUUCAAAGGCCUGAUCUGUUUCAUUGCCAAUGGUUCCACUCUAUAACCUCAUCACUGAGGGACAGAAUGGCACUCAGAAGAGCCCCAAGCCACCUACUGAGGAUAGUAGCUCCACUAAGCUUACUGAAUAAGAUCCAUUCACCUCCCCUCCCAGACUGGUAACAGGAGAAAACAGCUGUUAGACCCUGGCCGCUGGAAAGGAGGGAAUUCAUACAUCUCCAACUUGUUCUAUAUCCUUUCAGUUCCAUAAUUUUUUUUUUUUUUUUUUUUUUUUUUUUGGUUUUUCGAGACAGGGUUUCUCUGUGUAGCUUUGUAGCCUGUCCUGGCACUCGCUCUGGAGACCAGACUGGCCUCGAACUCACAGAGAUCCGCCUGCCUCUGCCUCAAGUGCUGGGAUUAAAGGCGUGCGCCACCAAGGCCCAGCCAGUUCCAUAAAUUUAUUGCCUGAUAAUCAAUAGGAGAAAUACAUCAGUUAAAUCAGAUUUCAAAAACAGUAAAUUAGAACCAAACACUUAUUUUGGCUAACGGUUCUUUCCCUGGCUCAUCAGUUUAUCAAAGAUCUGCCUGCUGUGUUAAAGUGUGACAAAUGGAUAUCUGUGUUUCAUAACUUCCCUUGAAAGUGAGCUUAUAUGAGAAACUAAUCAAUGUUUUAUUAUCCCACACCAGUAGUUUCUACUGUCAAAGAUUACCUAACCUAGCUUAUCUGGCAAAAUCUCUAAAAUGCCACUAUAUAUCAGUUCAUUUUAAGCAUUUUUGUGAAAUAGACUUUAAACAUAUAAGGCAGUUGUAUGCUAUGAGUAAUUAUCAAAGAAACUACCCUGUAAGCAGUCAACCAAGCCAAUCAGUGGAGUUUUGCUAAUCCUCCAAAAGCCCUAAUGACCUUCCUAAACACAACUCUCCCUCCUGGAAGUUACUGUUAUUCUGACCUUUAUGGUAAUCAUUUCCUUGCUUUUCUUUAUUGUUUUAUCACAGGUGUUCAUCCCUAAGCAUUACAUUGUUUAGUUUUUCCCUUUCUUGUGAAUGGUAUAUAAAUGAGAUAAUAUGUAACCUGUUAUGCUUACCAUAUUUGCUCAACUGCUGUCUGUAAUCCAUAUGUUGUUCAGGUUGUUUAGAGCUACAGUUUGUUCCCUUUCAUUGCUGUCUAUACAAGUGUUUCAUUGUAACAAUAUGUAACAAUUUGUUUAGCCAUUUUGUUGUUGAUCAAAGUCUGGGUUCAUUUUGAGCUAUAAAUGCUGUUGCAGAUAAUUCCUUAAAUCUGUAUUCUGUCAUCUACAUCAGUUUUUGUGUGAUCUGUACUUGAGAGUGUAUAUCAUAAACAUGAGUAAAUAAUGUCACACAGGCUUCUAACAGGAUACAGUCACAUUAGCUACAUAUGAGUGUCAUUGCUCCAGACCUCAUUUCAGUUUUAACUUCCAUUUCCCCAAUUACUGACUGUGUUGAGAACCUUUCAUAGAUCCACUAUUGUAUUAGUCGGGGUCCUCUCUAAGAACAGAAUUUAUAGAAAGGUGAUUUGUUAGAAUGGUUUACAGACUGUGCUCCAGCUAAUACAACAAUGGCUGUCUUACCUAAGAAAGGGACAAGAAGCUGGGCAUUGGUGGCGCAUGCCUUUAAUCGCCCCCCCCAGGAGGGGGGGCAGGGGCAGGCGGAUAUCUGUGAGUUUGAGGCCAGCCUGGCUUAUAGAGUGACUUCCAGGACAGCCAGAACUGUUUCACAGAGAAACCCUGUCUUGAAAAGAAAAAAAAGAAAGGGACAAGAAUCCAGUUGUUGAGUCCAUGAGGACAGAUGCCUCAGCUUUUUCAAUAUACAUCAGAAUGCCAAAGAAGUGGACUCUAAUGCCAAUGAAGGUUGGACUUGCUAGCAAGAGUGAGAGCAAGUAGGCAAAAGGAACAAGCUUCCUUCUUUUGUGUCUUUCAUCUAGACUGCCAGCAGCAGGUGUGGCCCAGAUGAAGGUGGAUCUUCCCACCUCAGAAGAUCUGGAUUAAAAGUGGGUCUUCCAUUCGAGGCCAGCCUGAUCUCCAGAGCGAGUGCCAGGAUAGGCUCCAAAGCUACACAGAGAAACCCUAUCUCGGAAAAAAAAAAAAAAAAGUGGGUCUUCCCCUUCAAAUGAUUUAAUUAUGCAAAAAUAUCCCACACAGGUAUACCUAGCCACUGGGUUUUAGUUAAUUCCAGAUGUAGACAAGUUGACAUCCAAGAAUUGCCAUCACAUCUAUAUUGAUAGCAAUUGGAUUCUUUAUCAUUCUAAUGUGUAAUCUCUGAAAUGCCCACAAUUCCAGUGUCUUUUAGUAGUUCAUAUUUGAACACCAAGAUCAGGGUACAGAAAUGCCACCAAAUGAAUGAUGUUUGGGAGAGAUUCUUUUUGUUUGGUUUUUGGGGGAACAGGUCGAGAUAGGGUUUCCCUGUCCUGGAACUCUGUAGACCAGACUGACCUCCAUAUGGGGGUUGGGGGAAUGGAGGGGUACAGAGGCUUUCUAAAAGAAUUUAGCUUACCUAAUUACUUUAUGAAUUGAUCAUGAACUUUAAAGUAGGGUACACACACACACACACACACACACACAUAUAUUCCUUCCAAAACAAUGUUUUUUCAAUUAUUAAAAAUGUGAAGUCUUGGGGCUGGAGAGAUGGCUCAGAGGUUAAGAGCACUGACUGCUUGCUCUUCCAUAGGUCCUGAGUUCAAUUCCCAGCAACCACAUGGUGUGCAGAUAUACAUGGAAGUAGAAUGUUGUAU